This 115-nucleotide ribosomal RNA is filed under the name uncultured Acidobacteriota bacterium. Its description in RNAcentral is "uncultured Acidobacteria bacterium partial 16S ribosomal RNA". It matches the Rfam family "Bacterial small subunit ribosomal RNA", at positions 98 to 227 of the family's 1533-position model. The record is from RNAcentral. Lineage: Bacteria; Pseudomonadati; Acidobacteriota.
GCGUACGGGUGAGUAACACGUGACUAACCUACCCUCGAGUGGGGAAUAAUCUCGGGAAACCGGGGCUAAUACCGCAUAACAUCUACGGAUCAAAUGCGUAAGCAGCUUGAGGAGG